This 355-nucleotide ribosomal RNA is filed under the name uncultured Allobrachymonas sp. RNAcentral describes it as "bacterial SSU rRNA". It matches the Rfam family "Bacterial small subunit ribosomal RNA", at positions 1022 to 1382 of the family's 1533-position model. Lineage: Bacteria; Pseudomonadati; Pseudomonadota; Betaproteobacteria; Burkholderiales; Comamonadaceae. The record is from RNAcentral.
GAGAACCUGCACACAGGGUGCUGCAUGGCUGUCGUCAGCUCGUGUCGUGAGAUGUUGGGUUAAGUCCCGCAACGAGCGCAACCCUUGCCAUUAGUUGCUACGAAAGGGCACUCUAAUGGGACUGCCGGUGACAAACCGGAGGAAGGUGGGGAUGACGUCAAGUCCUCAUGGCCCUUAUAGGUGGGGCUACACACGUCAUACAAUGGUCGGUACAGAGGGUUGCCAACCCGCGAGGGGGAGCUAAUCCCACAAAGCCGAUCGUAGUCCGGAUCGCAGUCUGCAACUCGACUGCGUGAAGUCGGAAUCGCUAGUAAUCGUGGAUCAGCAUGUCACGGUGAAUACGUUCCCGGGUCUU